AUUGAACGCUGGCGGCAGGCUUAACACAUGCAAGUCGAGCGGGGGAAGGUAGCUUGCUACCGGACCUAGCGGCGGACGGGUGAGUAAUGCUUAGGGAUCUGCCUAUUAGUGGGGGACAACAUCUCGAAAGGGAUGCUAAUACCGCAUACGUCCUACGGGAGAAAGCAGGGGAUCUUUGGACCUUGCGCUAAUAGAUGAGCCUAAGUCGGAUUAGCUAGUUGGUGGGGUAAAGGCCUACCAAGGCGACGAUCUGUAGCGGGUCUGAGAGGAUGAUCCGCCACACUGGGACUGAGACACGGCCCAGACUCCUACGGGAGGCAGCAGUGGGGAAUAUUGGACAAUGGGGGGAACCCUGAUCCAGCCAUGCCGCGUGUGUGAAGAAGGCCUUAUGGUUGUAAAGCACUUUAAGCGAGGAGGAGGCUACUUUAGUUAAUACCUAGAGAUAGUGGACGUUACUCGCAGAAUAAGCACCGGCUAACUCUGUGCCAGCCGCCGCAGUAA
This 501-nucleotide ribosomal RNA is filed under the name uncultured bacterium. RNAcentral describes it as "partial 16S ribosomal RNA". It matches the Rfam family "Bacterial small subunit ribosomal RNA", at positions 30 to 523 of the family's 1533-position model. The record is from RNAcentral.